Molecule: transfer RNA, 74 nt
Filed under: Defluviicoccus sp.
Lineage: Bacteria; Pseudomonadati; Pseudomonadota; Alphaproteobacteria; Rhodospirillales; Rhodospirillaceae
Description: tRNA-Val
Rfam family: tRNA
About the family: Transfer RNA (tRNA) molecules are approximately 80 nucleotides in length. Their secondary structure includes four short double-helical elements and three loops (D, anti-codon, and T loops).
Source: RNAcentral
GGGCGCGUAGCUCAGUGGGAGAGCACCGUCUUCACACGGCGGGGUCGCUGGUUCAAUCCCAGCCGCGCCCACCA